GGCGGGGGCAGGUGGCGUUGGCGCAUCUCUUUGAGAGCGCCGCGCUUUGCGCCCCCUCCCAAUAACAGAUAGGUGAAAAUAUAACGCUGAGGUGCCCAUGGAUUGCCAACCGACUUAUAUCGAAAGAGCACCACCGGCUGCGGAAUCCGAUGA
This is a long non-coding RNA of Papilio polytes (common Mormon), 153 nucleotides long. RefSeq lists it as uncharacterized. The transcript is spliced from 3 exons. The record is from RefSeq and is a predicted model, not a curated record. Lineage: Eukaryota; Metazoa; Arthropoda; Insecta; Lepidoptera; Papilionidae.